RNAcentral lists this ribosomal RNA (1119 nucleotides) under Escherichia coli. RNAcentral describes it as "partial 23S ribosomal RNA". It matches the Rfam family "Bacterial large subunit ribosomal RNA", at positions 614 to 1735 of the family's 2925-position model. Lineage: Bacteria; Pseudomonadati; Pseudomonadota; Gammaproteobacteria; Enterobacterales; Enterobacteriaceae. The record is from RNAcentral.
AAUGGGUCAGCGACUUAUAUUCUGUAGCAAGGUUAACCGAAUAGGGGAGCCGAAGGGAAACCGAGUCUUAACUGGGCGUUAAGUUGCAGGGUAUAGACCCGAAACCCGGUGAUCUAGCCAUGGGCAGGUUGAAGGUUGGGUAACACUAACUGGAGGACCGAACCGACUAAUGUUGAAAAAUUAGCGGAUGACUUGUGGCUGGGGGUGAAAGGCCAAUCAAACCGGGAGAUAGCUGGUUCUCCCCGAAAGCUAUUUAGGUAGCGCCUCGUGAAUUCAUCUCCGGGGGUAGAGCACUGUUUCGGCAAGGGGGUCAUCCCGACUUACCAACCCGAUGCAAACUGCGAAUACCGGAGAAUGUUAUCACGGGAGACACACGGCGGGUGCUAACGUCCGUCGUGAAGAGGGAAACAACCCAGACCGCCAGCUAAGGUCCCAAAGUCAUGGUUAAGUGGGAAACGAUGUGGGAAGGCCCAGACAGCCAGGAUGUUGGCUUAGAAGCAGCCAUCAUUUAAAGAAAGCGUAAUAGCUCACUGGUCGAGUCGGCCUGCGCGGAAGAUGUAACGGGGCUAAACCAUGCACCGAAGCUGCGGCAGCGACGCUUAUGCGUUGUUGGGUAGGGGAGCGUUCUGUAAGCCUGCGAAGGUGUACUGUGAGGUAUGCUGGAGGUAUCAGAAGUGCGAAUGCUGACAUAAGUAACGAUAAAGCGGGUGAAAAGCCCGCUCGCCGGAAGACCAAGGGUUCCUGUCCAACGUUAAUCGGGGCAGGGUGAGUCGACCCCUAAGGCGAGGCCGAAAGGCGUAGUCGAUGGGAAACAGGUUAAUAUUCCUGUACUUGGUGUUACUGCGAAGGGGGGACGGAGAAGGCUAUGUUGGCCGGGCGACGGUUGUCCCGGUUUAAGCGUGUAGGCUGGUUUUCCAGGCAAAUCCGGAAAAUCAAGGCUGAGGCGUGAUGACGAGGCACUACGGUGCUGAAGCAACAAAUGCCCUGCUUCCAGGAAAAGCCUCUAAGCAUCAGGUAACAUCAAAUCGUACCCCAAACCGACACAGGUGGUCAGGUAGAGAAUACCAAGGCGCUUGAGAGAACUCGGGUGAAGGAACUAGGCAAAAUGGUGCCGUAACU